Molecule: ribosomal RNA, 474 nt
Filed under: uncultured bacterium
Lineage: Bacteria
Description: bacterial SSU rRNA
Rfam family: Bacterial small subunit ribosomal RNA
Source: RNAcentral
AGCGAACGUUUGCGGCGGGCCUAACACAUGCAAGUCGAACGCACUAGCAAUAGUGAGUGGCGCACGGGUGCGUAACACGUGGGUAAUCAACCCUUCAGCUUGGGAUAACGACUUGAAAGGGUCGCUAAUACCGGAUACGGCGCGAGAGGCUUCGGCUUCUCACGAGAAAGCCUCGCAAGGGGCACUGAAGGACGAGCCUGCGGCCCAUCAGCUAGUUGGUGAGGUAAGAGCUCACCAAGGCUAAGACGGGUAGCUGGUCUGAGAGGAUGAUCAGCCACACUGGAACUGAGACACGGCCCAGACUCCUACGGGAGGCAGCAGUGGGGAAUAUUGGACAAUGGGCGCAAGCCUGAUCCAGCAAUGCCGCGUGUGUGAAGAAGGCCUGCGGGUUGUAAAGCACUUUCAGUGGGAAGAACAGAUUCGGGUCAAUACCCGGAGCCCUGACGUUACCCACAGAAGAAGCACCGGCUAACU